GCCCUACAGAAGGAAGGGGGCGGGACCAGAGGCCCCGAACCUUUGAUCCAACCUUUGGGCUUCUGCCACGUUGUGUGACGUAAGCGAGCAUCUCGCACCUGAAUCAGAGGCAGCAGGGACGCAAAAACGUCCCCACGGAGAUGUCCAACAAGAUCACAGCAUUCAAGCCUAAAAGUGACCUAUGGAAGUCCUAACUGGAUCAGAACCAUCUCGCCCACUUUCCUGGUUGUCAGAGCAUCAAAACCUGAAGCCAGACCUAAACUUUAAUCUACAAGAGUUCAUAGCGGGUCACCGCAGGGCUGCAGGCUAACGGCAUUAGCAUAAACUCUACUACUCUCUGGUGGAGCACUGUAGCCGGAGAGCUAAAUGCUAACAUGUCAGCUUGGCAUUAAAUAGACUGUUUCGGUGUGAGUUGUUAAUCCAGAGUAGGUAUUUUAAUCCCAGAUGAGCACCGACCACUAAAUUUAAAACAAGCACAUCCUAAAAGACUAAAAGUGAAUCAAGACACGAAGAGUUAACAAGUAUUUUUAUUAAUAAAGUAACUUUAUCAGAUUCCAUUGACUUUAUUAUGAUGCGUUCAAGCUCUACUCUGUACAAAUGAGUGCUGAGUGAAGGUAAGAUCAUAACAGUCAUAGAGCGUUUAUUUUAAUCUCAAUUUGAAGUGAAAAACUUGUGUCAGGGAUGUUGCGGGAAGCAGGAUUCAAACGCAGACUUUGAGAAAAAAAAAUCCUUUAAUAGUCAAAAGGCAGGCAGGAACUAGAGACAUUCGACAAUGACGCGACAAGUAAAUUGAGACACACACGGCAUAAAUACACUAGGGAGGUGCAGGUGAUUGGACACAGGUGGAAACAAUCAGACAAUCACAGGGGAUGACAGGACAAGGCAGGAAGUGAAGUUACCCAGGGAGACAAGAUGCAGAAACUACAAAAUAAGACAGGAAAUAAAACCACACCGUGACAAUUUGAAUAAAUCCAGAGGUUUGAAGUUACAGAUAAAAGGAAAUAAUUCUCAUUAUAUAAUUAUUAUCAUUAAAACUAGAAAUUGAAGACAAUGUCUUUCUUCAAAGCAAGGGAUUUACUUUUUUCUAUGACAUUUUAGACAUAGUUUUACUUUUCUGAAAGAAUGUCUCAUAUAUUUAGACUUUUUUUAUUUUUGACUUCCUCAUAUAUUUGGAUUUUCUUUUAGAAUAGAAAUGUGUCCCAAUAUGUUUUGACUUUUUUUUCCAAAUUAUUUUUGACUCAAUAUUUAUUUAUUAUUACAUGUUUUGACGUAACAUUGUUUUGAUUCCUUUUUUGACAUCGUAUUUUUUGAACAUCCAACCCGACAGAAAACAGCUCUUUUCUUCUCGGCUCAUCCUCAGAACUCUACUUUAAGUUCUUCCGCAUCUUUUCUCUUUAAACC
This is a long non-coding RNA of Gasterosteus aculeatus aculeatus (three-spined stickleback), 1401 nucleotides long. NCBI's taxonomy places the organism in Eukaryota, Metazoa, Chordata, Actinopteri, Perciformes, Gasterosteidae. The record is from Ensembl.